GAUGAAGAACGUAGCGAAAUGGGAUAAGUAAUGCGAAUUGCAGAAUUCCAGUGAGUCAUCGAAUCUUUGAACGCACAUUGCGCCCUUUGGUAUUCCGAAGGGCAUGCCUGUUCGAGCGUCAUUAUCACCCCUCAAGCCCUCGGCUUGGUGUUGGACGGUUUGGUGGAGGCCCCCUCGGGGGCUCCUGCCCCUCCCAAAGACAAUGACGGCGGCCUCGUUGGACCCCCGGUACACUGAGUUCUUCACGGGACACGUAUCGGACACAUGGGUUUACGGGACACGGUCUGCCUCCCCUCAGGGAGAAUCUUUCUAAGGUUGACCUCGGAUCAGGUAGGGAUACCCGCUGAACUUAAGCAUAUCAAUAAGCGGAGGA
This 373-nucleotide unclassified non-coding RNA is filed under the name soil metagenome. RNAcentral's name for it is "partial contains 5.8S ribosomal RNA, internal transcribed spacer 2, and large subunit ribosomal RNA". The stretch from base 1 to 121 matches the Rfam family "5.8S ribosomal RNA", at positions 35 to 154 of the family's 154-position model. The record is from RNAcentral.